This 252-nucleotide ribosomal RNA is filed under the name uncultured bacterium. RNAcentral's name for it is "partial 16S ribosomal RNA". It matches the Rfam family "Bacterial small subunit ribosomal RNA", at positions 524 to 775 of the family's 1533-position model. The record is from RNAcentral.
UACGAAGGGGGCUAGCGUUGCUCGGAAUGACUGGGCGUAAAGGGCGCGUAGGCGGACGGCUUUGUCGGGCGUGAAAUUCCAGGGCUUAACCUUGGGGCUGCGUUCGAGACGGGUUGUCUAGAGUUUGGAAGAGGGUCGUGGAAUUCCCAGUGUAGAGGUGAAAUUCGUAGAUAUUGGGAAGAACACCGGUGGCGAAGGCGGCGACCUGGUCCUUGACUGACGCUGAGGCGCGAAAGCGUGGGGAGCAACAGG